Molecule: long non-coding RNA, 490 nt
Filed under: Phaseolus vulgaris (common bean)
Lineage: Eukaryota; Viridiplantae; Streptophyta; Magnoliopsida; Fabales; Fabaceae
Description: long non-coding RNA (PVUL_LNC000668)
Source: RNAcentral
GGGGUAAUCUUUGUGCGAGUCAUGAUAGCAGCUGCAUAGGAAGAAGAAAGGAAAAAUGGUCAGGGGGUUACAGAGGCUGACUCGAUCAUAGAAGGAAGGUGAAGAACGAACGAAUGAAGGUUCGUUGCGACGAUUGACGAAGCCCUAAGUUGCGCAGAAUGAGAAAUGGAAAAAACAACCCACAGCGUAUGCACCAGGCAGUUACAGGAUGAUGCAAAUCGGUGAAAAUGCAAGGAAACCCAGCAGAUGAAGGAAAGUAGUUACCUUUCGAUGAUCAGGAAGACGGUGGAGGAAGAUGGUGAUCUAGAGCGUUGAAGAGCGUUGAGAGUUUUCGCAGAAGGAAGUUAGAGCGUUUGCAAGCACGAAGAAAGUGAUGGAACAGUGGAGCGUAAUGGGUUUAAGGGUUUUCGAAAUGGUUUUAGGAACCGCAAACGGCAAAUGAAGAGAGCCGUUGAUGAAGCCACGCGUCAGACGAUGAGUGAGGGGUUUG